RNAcentral lists this ribosomal RNA (777 nucleotides) under uncultured Neocallimastigales. RNAcentral's name for it is "partial large subunit ribosomal RNA". It matches the Rfam family "Eukaryotic large subunit ribosomal RNA", at positions 23 to 626 of the family's 3401-position model. The record is from RNAcentral. Lineage: Eukaryota; Fungi; Neocallimastigomycota; Neocallimastigomycetes; Neocallimastigales.
AGAGAGAGACAUGCGCGCAUAUCAAUAAGCGGAGGAAAAGAAACUAACAAGGAUUCCCUUAGUAACGGCGAGUGAAGCGGGAAGAGCUCAAAUUUGAAAUCCUCAAGGUUUUACCUUGACGAAUUGUAGUUUAAAGAAGUGUUUUCUGCUGAAGUUUUGGUAAAAGUUCUUUGGAAUAGGAUAUCAUAGAGGGUGAGAAUCCCGUAUUUGACCAUUAUUUUCAGCUUUGUGAUACACUUUCAAAGAGUCGGAUUGUUUGGGAAUGCAGUCCAAAAUGGGUGGUAAAUUUCAUCUAAAGCUAAAUAUUGGCGAGAGACCGAUAGCGAACAAGUACCGUGAGGGAAAGAUGAAAAGAACUUUGAAAAGAGAGUUAAACAGUACGUGAAAUUGUCAAAAGGGAAGCGUUUGACACCAGUGUUGUUUUCUCGAAAAUCAAUUAAAAAUGGCUCGAUUUUGUAUUGCUUGAGACCUUAAAAGCUCACUGUACAUUUUUCGUGUCUUUUUUAAUGCACUUUUCGUUUAACAAGUCAACAUCAGUUUCUUUUGUUGUAAAAGGGUCAUUGGAAGGUGGCUUUCUUUUCGGAGAAAGUGUUUAUAGCCUUUGGCCUCUGCAAUCGGAGAGAUUGAGGUCUGCAGCGUAGAUCCUUCGGGGUUAGAUACAUUUGUGCUAAGUUAUAGCCUUUUCAUAGACAACUUGUUGACUAUGAAUCAGUCAUGUAGCUUACUCGCUUAUGCUAUUUUACCUACGCUUAGGAUGUUGAGUCGUAGAGCACGCAG